This is a long non-coding RNA of Oncorhynchus tshawytscha (Chinook salmon), 574 nucleotides long. Lineage: Eukaryota; Metazoa; Chordata; Actinopteri; Salmoniformes; Salmonidae. The record is from Ensembl.
CCCACUUGUGGAUUUCCUGUUUCUGUUCUAGAGGCCUGAGUCAAAGUGAGCUCCCGAUUCCUACGUUGGAGCCCAACUUCAAAUGGACUGGACCUGAAGAACAAGGUGUGCUAGAAAUGUCUCUUCCCCCUCCACUCAAUGUGCACUACUAAAAGGUGUUUCAGGAUGCAGAAGGAUACAGAUUUGUCCAGGUGGAUGCUGCUAAGAUGCAGCUGCUGAAUCUUUGUUCUGUAUGGAAGGACAUCAGAGAAGAAAAACUGGAAUCCUCCCAAAGGAUGGAAGAAAACCAAUCACUUUAGCCACACACUACUGACCUUGGCUUGUUCCGAGUAUCAUACUGUGUUAUGGCUAAAUACUAGAUUUCAGCAUAUUGUUGUUUUGUUUCUCUAUGUUCUCAUCCAAAAUAAUUUAAAUGGCUAUGGCCUGCAUUGUUGUCAUGGAUAUUGCAUAGGCUCUCUGAUACCAAUGGCUGUAAACUGCUUUUGAGUUUGGUUGGAUAAGAUGGAGUGUGCUUCACUUUGCAAUGCAACAACCCUUCAAAAAACAACGGCACAUCCAUCUUCAGAGGUCUGCC